Molecule: ribosomal RNA, 497 nt
Filed under: uncultured bacterium
Lineage: Bacteria
Description: partial 16S ribosomal RNA
Rfam family: Bacterial small subunit ribosomal RNA
Source: RNAcentral
GAUGAACGCUGGCGGCGUGCCUAAUACAUGCAAGUCGAGCGGACGGACGAGAAGCUUGCGGGGUUGAUGUUAGGGGAAGACGGGUGAGUAACGCGUGGAUAACCUACUUAUAAGUCGGGGAUAACUUCGGGAAACCGGAGAUAAUAGGAGAGAAUAUUCUGAACCGCAGGGUGGAAAGGAGAGAGACGGUGGUGGGGGCAGGUAUAGAGGCAUCCGCGCUGGAUGAGCUAGUUGGUAAGGUAACGGCUUACCAAGGGAACGAGGCAUAGGCGACCUGAGGGGCUGAUCGCCCACCCUGGAACUUAGCCCCGGUCCAGACUCCUACGGGACGGCGCAGUCGGGAACGUUCGGCAAUGGGCGAAAGCCUGACGCAGCCACGCCGCGUGUGUUACGACGGUCUUCGGAUCGUAAAACUCUCUUUUUAGUGAAGAACAUCUGUGUCCGUAACUGUGCCCAUCUUGACGGUACCUAAUCAGAAAGCACCGGCUAACUACGUG